CAGUUCUUUUUUCUUUCUGGUGCCGGAUGUAUGCAUCCGGAUAAUAGGGAAGUACGUGAGAAUCGUACACUGUUCCCGCAACUGUAAGAGACGGUUUGCCGAAAAAAAGCUGCUGACGGCUCCGUUGGCAUGCUUUUGAUCAGGUAUGUUCAGGUCACUUCGUUCCAUUACAAUUUCCGCCCGGGAAAACGAGGGAAGGCCAGAACGUUUUUAUCAGCCUGCAACUGCCGCAGGCGGCCGCUCAUAGUCAGGAGACCUGCCCGAAAGCCGUUACCCCU
This 278-nucleotide non-coding RNA is filed under the name Chlorobium limicola. The record is from RNAcentral. Lineage: Bacteria; Pseudomonadati; Chlorobiota; Chlorobiia; Chlorobiales; Chlorobiaceae.